This 365-nucleotide ribosomal RNA is filed under the name uncultured bacterium. RNAcentral describes it as "bacterial SSU rRNA". It matches the Rfam family "Bacterial small subunit ribosomal RNA", at positions 29 to 419 of the family's 1533-position model. The record is from RNAcentral.
AACGAACGCUGGCGGCAUGCCUAACACAUGCAAGUCGAACGAGACCUUCGGGUCUAGUGGCGCACGGGUGCGUAACGCGUGGGAAUCUACCCUUGGGUUCGGAAUAACUCAGAGAAAUUUGAGCUAAUACCGGAUGAUGUCGCAAGACCAAAGAUUUAUCGCCCAAGGAUGAGCCCGCGUAGGAUUAGCUUGUUGGUGAGGUAAAAGCUCACCAAGGCGACGAUCCUUAGCUGGUCUGAGAGGAUGAUCAGCCACACUGGGACUGAGACACGGCCCAGACUCCUACGGGAGGCAGCAGUGGGGGAAUAUUGGACAAUGGGCGAAAGCCUGAUCCAGCAAUAGCCGCGUGAGUGAUGAAGGCCUUA